UACAGAGGGUGCGAGCGUUGUCCGGAAUCACUGGGCGUAAAGGGCGCGUAGGUGGUUGGGUAAGCGUGUGGUGAAAGCCCGGGGCUCAACCCCGGGUCGGCCAUGCGAACUGCCCGACUGGAGCACGGUAGAGGCCAAUGGGAUUCCGGGUGUAGCGGUGGAAUGCGUAGAGAUCCGGAAGAACACCGGUGGCGAAGGCGGUUGGCUGGGCCGUGGCUGACACUGAGGCGCGACAGCGUGGGGAGCAAACAGG
RNAcentral lists this ribosomal RNA (253 nucleotides) under uncultured bacterium. RNAcentral's name for it is "partial 16S ribosomal RNA". It matches the Rfam family "Bacterial small subunit ribosomal RNA", at positions 524 to 776 of the family's 1533-position model. The record is from RNAcentral.